CGACUUUGAGGCGCACCGGCUCCAUAGACAGAAACAUCGCAUUAUGGCCUCGCUCUGAGCCUCCUGAUGCGACAGUUGUGUACAUACCUAACCGGCAAUCCGUCACCAUCGACGCCCUGAUCAUGGACCUCCAGUCCAGAGGCUUUUUUCGGGGCCAUCGGAGUUGUCAAUAGUACUCCCAAAGUACUAUAUUAUUUGAUUUUGAGCACUGUCACUUUUGCACGCCCGGGGAUUUAAACCGAGGUGACAGUAGUAGCACUCACCCCAUCUGCCGGUCAGCUAAGCUAGCUCGCUAAGUCCAUAGCCAAGAAGGGCAUCACUUUUCUUUUGGAGUAAAGGACAAGGAAACUACAACACCACUACUUUCAUUAACAGAAGACUGAUCAAAGGCUGAUUCCCCGAGUUCCCAUCUAACUACAUAUUCACUAUUGAUUGCUGGCUGGCCACACAAAGCCACCCUAAUGCAGAACCACAAAAGAACGUGAAAUGAACAAACCACCACAGCCUAUAGCGGGACCCACCUCCGUCCCAAACCCUUCCCCUUCCCCUGGAUUGACACAGGCCGCCUACGGUCCUGGACAACCCCCUUCUCUUGUCUUUGCCACCCCCCCACCUCAACAAAUGAACUCUGCACCGCAACCAAGACAGUUUGCUGCAGGCCCCCGUACUUUACACCAACAGG
Long non-coding RNA from Notothenia coriiceps (black rockcod), 682 nucleotides. RefSeq lists it as uncharacterized. The transcript has 4 exons. Lineage: Eukaryota; Metazoa; Chordata; Actinopteri; Perciformes; Nototheniidae. The record is from RefSeq and is a predicted model, not a curated record.